UGGCAUUCGAGUGGCGGACGGGUGAGUAACGCGUGGGUAACCUGCCUUACACAGGGGGAUAACAGUUAGAAAUGACUGCUAAUACCGCAUAAGACCACAAAACCGCAUGGUUUGGUGGUAAAAACUCCGGUGGUGUAAGAUGGGCCCGCGUCUGAUUAGGUAGUUGGUGGGGUAACGGCCCACCAAGGCGACGAUCAGUAGCCGGACUGAGAGGUUGACCGGCCACAUUGGGACUGAGAUACGGCCCAGACUCCUACGGGAGGCAGCAG
RNAcentral lists this ribosomal RNA (269 nucleotides) under uncultured bacterium. RNAcentral describes it as "partial 16S ribosomal RNA". It matches the Rfam family "Bacterial small subunit ribosomal RNA", at positions 85 to 354 of the family's 1533-position model. The record is from RNAcentral.